RNAcentral lists this ribosomal RNA (253 nucleotides) under uncultured bacterium. RNAcentral's name for it is "partial 16S ribosomal RNA". It matches the Rfam family "Bacterial small subunit ribosomal RNA", at positions 524 to 776 of the family's 1533-position model. The record is from RNAcentral.
GACGUAGGGCGCGAGCGUUGUCCGGAUUUAUUGGGCGUAAAGAGCUCGUAGGCGGCUCGUUGCGUCGGCUGUGAAAACCCGCAGCUCAACUGUGGGCUUGCAGCUGAUACGGGCGGGCUGGGAUUCGGUAGGGGAGACUGGAAUUCCUGGUGUAGCGGUGAAAUGCGCAGAUAUCAGGAGGAACACCGAUGGCGAAGGCAGGUCUCUGGGCCACUACUGACGCUGAGAAGCGAAAGCGUGGGGAGCAAACAGG